Molecule: ribosomal RNA, 969 nt
Filed under: Microbacterium paraoxydans
Lineage: Bacteria; Bacillati; Actinomycetota; Actinomycetes; Micrococcales; Microbacteriaceae
Description: bacterial SSU rRNA
Rfam family: Bacterial small subunit ribosomal RNA
Source: RNAcentral
GCGGCGUGCUUAACACAUGCAAGUCGAACGGUGAACACGGAGCUUGCUCUGUGGGAUCAGUGGCGAACGGGUGAGUAACACGUGAGCAACCUGCCCCUGACUCUGGGAUAAGCGCUGGAAACGGCGUCUAAUACUGGAUAUGUGACGUGACCGCAUGGUCUGCGUUUGGAAAGAUUUUUCGGUUGGGGAGGGGCUCGCGGCCUAUCAGCUUGUUGGUGAGGUAAUGGCUCACCAAGGCGUCGACGGGUAGCCGGCCUGAGAGGGUGACCGGCCACACUGGGACUGAGACACGGCCCAGACUCCUACGGGAGGCAGCAGUGGGGAAUAUUGCACAAUGGGCGAAAGCCUGAUGCAGCAACGCCGCGUGAGGGAUGACGGCCUUCGGGUUGUAAACCUCUUUUAGCAGGGAAGAAGCGAAAGUGACGGUACCUGCAGAAAAAGCGCCGGCUAACUACGUGCCAGCAGCCGCGGUAAUACGUAGGGCGCAAGCGUUAUCCGGAAUUAUUGGGCGUAAAGAGCUCGUAGGCGGUUUGUCGCGUCUGCUGUGAAAUCCCGAGGCUCAACCUCGGGCCUGCAGUGGGUACGGGCAGACUAGAGUGCGGUAGGGGAGAUUGGAAUUCCUGGUGUAGCGGUGGAAUGCGCAGAUAUCAGGAGGAACACCGAUGGCGAAGGCAGAUCUCUGGGCCGUAACUGACGCUGAGGAGCGAAAGGGUGGGGAGCAAACAGGCUUAGAUACCCUGGUAGUCCACCCCGUAAACGUUGGGAACUAGUUGUGGGGUCCAUUCCACGGAUUCCGUGACGCAGCUAACGCAUUAAGUUCCCCGCCUGGGGAGUACGGCCGCAAGGCUAAAACUCAAAGGAAUUGACGGGGACCCGCACAAGCGGCGGAGCAUGCGGAUUAAUUCGAUGCAACGCGAAGAACCUUACCAAGGCUUGACAUAUACGAGAACGGGCCAGAAAUGGUCAACU